GCCCGGCUAGCUCAGUCGGUAGAGCAUGAGACUCUUACUCUCAGGGUCGUGGGUUCAAACCCCACGUUGGGCG
RNAcentral lists this transfer RNA (73 nucleotides) under Danio rerio (zebrafish). RNAcentral describes it as "tRNA-Lys (CTT) (tRNA-Lys-CTT-137-1)". It matches the Rfam family "tRNA". Rfam says of the family: Transfer RNA (tRNA) molecules are approximately 80 nucleotides in length. Their secondary structure includes four short double-helical elements and three loops (D, anti-codon, and T loops). Further hydrogen bonds mediate the characteristic L-shaped molecular structure. tRNAs have two regions of fundamental functional importance: the anti-codon, which is responsible for specific mRNA codon recognition, and the 3' end, to which the tRNAs corresponding amino acid is attached (by aminoacyl-tRNA synthetases). tRNAs cope with the degeneracy of the genetic code in two manners: having more than one tRNA (with a specific anti-codon) for a particular amino acid; and 'wobble' base-pairing, i.e. permitting non-standard base-pairing at the 3rd anti-codon position. Lineage: Eukaryota; Metazoa; Chordata; Actinopteri; Cypriniformes; Danionidae. The record is from Rfam by way of RNAcentral.